AUUGAACGCUGGCGGCAGGCCUAACACAUGCAAGUCGAGCGUGAAAGUCCUUCGGGAUGAGUAAAGCGGCGGACGGGUGAGUAAUACGCAGGAAUCUACCUGAUAGUGGGGGAUAACGUUUCGAAAGGAACGCUAAUACCGCAUACGUUCUGAGGAAGAAAGCAGGGGCUCGUAAGACCUUGCGCUACCAGAUGAGCCUGCGUCCGAUUAGCUAGUUGGUGGGGUAAAGGCCUACCAAGGCGACGAUCGGUAACUGGUCUGAGAGGAUGAUCAGUCACACUGGAACUGAGACACGGUCCAGACUCCUACGGGAGGCAGCAGUGGGGGAAUAUUGGACAAUGGGGGGCAACCCUGAUCCAGCCAUGCCGCGUGUGUGAAGAAGG
This 383-nucleotide ribosomal RNA is filed under the name uncultured bacterium. RNAcentral describes it as "bacterial SSU rRNA". It matches the Rfam family "Bacterial small subunit ribosomal RNA", at positions 30 to 414 of the family's 1533-position model. The record is from RNAcentral.